Molecule: ribosomal RNA, 298 nt
Filed under: uncultured bacterium
Lineage: Bacteria
Description: partial 16S ribosomal RNA
Rfam family: Bacterial small subunit ribosomal RNA
Source: RNAcentral
GGAUUAGAUACCCUGGUAGUCCACGCAGUAAACGAUGAUCACUAGACGUAUGCAACUUAAUUGUAUGUGUCUCAGCUAACGCGAUAAGUGAUCCGCCUGGGGAGUACGAUCGCAAGAUUAAAACUUAAAGAAAUUGACGGGGAUCCGCACAAGCGGUGGAACAUGUGGUUUAAUUCGAUACUACGCGAGAAACCUUACCUGGGUUUGACAUGCAUAGGACGCACGCAGAGAUGUAUGCUUCAUGGGGCAACCUAUGACCUUUGCACAGGUGUUGCAUGGCUGUCGUCAGCUCGUGCCG